GCGAUCAUACCAGCACUAAUGCACCGGAUACCAUCAGAUCUCCAAAGUUAAGCGUGCUUGGGCGAGAGCAGUACUAGGAUGGGUAACCCCCUGGGAAGUCCUCGUGUUGCACCU
This 114-nucleotide ribosomal RNA is filed under the name Zingiber officinale. Lineage: Eukaryota; Viridiplantae; Streptophyta; Magnoliopsida; Zingiberales; Zingiberaceae. The record is from RNAcentral.